RNAcentral lists this ribosomal RNA (508 nucleotides) under Triticum aestivum (bread wheat). RNAcentral describes it as "partial small subunit ribosomal RNA". The record is from RNAcentral. Lineage: Eukaryota; Viridiplantae; Streptophyta; Magnoliopsida; Poales; Poaceae.
CACGUUAGGGGUGGUUCGAAGAGUAGGUGUACGCAGUUACCACCCGUAGUCCUUUGAUUAGGGGUCAGACACGUACCUAGAGCUGCUGGAGCAUCUACCGCUCCCCCUCACGCCCUACGCGACGAGUUUGAAGAGUACAGGCCUCCGAGCGCCGCCACCGCCUCCAAGACCUAGAACCACCGCACCGCCUCCAUGACCCCAUCGAGGGCCUACCCUCUUAUACUCGUUCUACACUGGUUGUAGACACCCGCCGACGAAUCAACAACGGGACUAUCGACCACUACAACCUGAGGAUGGUUUACACUCUUCGUCAACCCGUACUGAAACAACCUACAGCUCAAAAUCCGGCGUACUUCACAGACCGGAACGAAGUAGUCUGUAGCUCGAUGUGCCGGGCACCACCAAAAAUGACUGAUUAUGAACACCCCGAAGGAAGCGCGAAGCAGAAUGGCCGUAUGAAGCUACAAGAACCACCGAACAAACUCAACGGGAAAAAGGACUGAUGAUG